This 468-nucleotide ribosomal RNA is filed under the name uncultured bacterium. RNAcentral's name for it is "partial 16S ribosomal RNA". It matches the Rfam family "Bacterial small subunit ribosomal RNA", at positions 28 to 507 of the family's 1533-position model. The record is from RNAcentral.
GACGAACGCUGGCGGCGUGCUUAACACAUGCAAGUCGAACGGAAAGGCCCUGCUUUUGUGGGGUGCUCGAGUGGCGAACGGGUGAGUAACACGUGAGUAACCUGCCCUUGACUUUGGGAUAACUUCAGGAAACUGGGGCUAAUACCGGAUUGGAGCUCCUGCUGCAUGGUGGGGGUUGGAAAGUUUCGGCGGUUGGGGAUGGACUCGCGGCUUAUCAGCUUGUUGGUGGGGUAGUGGCUUACCAAGGCUUUGACGGGUAGCCGGCCUGAGAGGGUGACCGGCCACAUUGGGACUGAGAUACGGCCCAGACUCCUACGGGAGGCAGCAGUGGGGAAUAUUGCACAAUGGGCGGAAGCCUGAUGCAGCAACGCCGCGUGCGGGAUGACGGCCUUCGGGUUGUAAACCGCUUCCGCCUGUGACGAAGCGUGAGUGACGGUAAUGGGUAAAGAAGCACCGGCUAACUACGUG